GCAGGGCGGGGAGGCACCCACCGCGAGGGGGAGACUGAGAGCCAGUCCCUCCCACCCCCGGCUCUUAGGACUCGCAUCGCAAGCGGGGGAGGCACGCCACGCGAGGCGGGGACUGAGAGCCAGCCCCCCUUCCCCCCGGGCUUAGGACCCCCAUCGCGGUUCCUAAGAUCCUUAGGACCCACCUGGAGGACUGUGGGUAUGGGGUGUCCAAGAAGAAAGCUCAGAUCUGCCCACGGCAGGUACCUUACUUGGGAUUUACAAUCGACAGGGGUCCGAACGCAGCCCGGGAAAAGAAAGAAAGCAGGGGUCCGAACGCAGCCCGGGAUCAGGAAGAAAGCAGGUCGUUUGCAAUCUACCGGAGCCUAAGGGCAGAAGGCAGGAUCGUGGGAACAAUAUCCCAGGGGGGUUUCCACUUUCUGCCAUAUAUGUAGUCACAUCGCCCACUCCGCCUUGGAAUAUUAUUAAGGACCAUCUAACACGAGGGUGUAUACGUCCUGCGAUAUUACGAGUAAUAUCAACUUCUUGGCCUCUGAAUAUGAGGAAGAAUAUCACAGGGGGUCCGAAUGCAGCCCGGGAUCACAAAGAAAGCAGGUCGUUUGCAAUCUACCAGAGCCUAAGGGCAGAAGGCAGGAUCGUGGGAACAAUAUCCCAUGGGGGUGUACCCUUUCUGCCAUAUAUGUAGUCACAUCACCCACUCCGCCUUGGAAUAUUAUUAAGGACCAUCUAACACGAGGGUGUAUACGUCCUGUGAUAUUGGGAGUAAUAUCAACUUCUCGGCCUCUGAAUAUGAGGAAGAAUAUCACAGGGAUAUUAAUAACAAUUUCACAGGCUGGGUGAACACAGCCGGCGAUGCUGAAAUUAUUAUCAUCCUCUCCCCCUCUUCCCCUCCUGGCUCUCAGUCCCCGCCUCACGGGUUAUGUAGCGGGUUAUGGCAAGAAGACAAACUGCAGUUUCCUGCACAGAACAGCACAAACAAUGAUCCAAGCUCAGUUACAACACAAUAUUGGUCAUCAUUUGACCAUGGACUUCAAUAUCAACCCUUAGAAACCUUCCUAAAACAGGUCAGCAAAACACCAAGAAGCAAUAUCCUGAAUGAUAGGAAAAUAUCCUUGCUUGUGCAAAUUGUUUCCACUUAAUUUUUUUCAACAAAUGUUAAUUAUAUUUUUACUUUCUAAAAAUUUUUAAUAAAAUAUAGCCUACUUGGUUAAAAA
Molecule: long non-coding RNA, 1211 nt
Filed under: Homo sapiens (human)
Lineage: Eukaryota; Metazoa; Chordata; Mammalia; Primates; Hominidae
Description: HSALNT0367522
Source: RNAcentral